This 370-nucleotide ribosomal RNA is filed under the name uncultured organism. RNAcentral's name for it is "partial 16S ribosomal RNA". It matches the Rfam family "Bacterial small subunit ribosomal RNA", at positions 527 to 896 of the family's 1533-position model. The record is from RNAcentral.
GGAGGGGGCUAGCGUUGUUCAGAAUUACUGGGCGUAAAGGGCGCGUAGGCGGCCUGUCAAGUCAGGGGUGAAAGGCCCGGGCUCAACCCGGGAACUGCCCUUGAAACUGGCAAGCUAGAGUCCGAGAGAGGAUGGCGGAAUUCCCAGUGUAGAGGUGAAAUUCGUAGAUAUUGGGAAGAACACCGGUGGCGAAGGCGGCCAUCUGGCUCGGUACUGACGCUGAGGCGCGAAAGCGUGGGGAGCAAACAGGAUUAGAUACCCUGGUAGUCCACGCCGUAAACGAUGUGUGCUAGACGUUGGGGGUCUUAGGCCCCUCGGUGUGCAGCUAACGCGUUAAGCACACCGCCUGGGGAGUACGGCCGCAAGGUUA